AUAAAAUUAAAAGGUAACAACUGGCCACCACUAUAGUGUAGAAGCUCAAUAACAAAGGUACCUUACCAUCGGUAAAUGUACGUGAAGGAAAAUGUAGAGACCCGUCUUAAGGAAAAUGCAGAGA
Long non-coding RNA from Poecilia latipinna (sailfin molly), 124 nucleotides. RefSeq lists it as uncharacterized. The record is from RefSeq and is a predicted model, not a curated record. Lineage: Eukaryota; Metazoa; Chordata; Actinopteri; Cyprinodontiformes; Poeciliidae. The transcript has 3 exons.